This 391-nucleotide unclassified non-coding RNA is filed under the name soil metagenome. RNAcentral's name for it is "partial contains 5.8S ribosomal RNA, internal transcribed spacer 2, and large subunit ribosomal RNA". The stretch from base 1 to 122 matches the Rfam family "5.8S ribosomal RNA", at positions 35 to 154 of the family's 154-position model. The record is from RNAcentral.
GAUGAAGAACGUAGCGAAAUGCGAUACUUGGUGUGAAUUGCAGAAUCCCGUGAACCAUCGAGUCUUUGAACGCAAGUUGCGCCCGAAGCCAUUAGGUCGAGGGCACGCCUGCCUGGGCGUCACACGUCGUUGCCCCCCCAUCUACUCCUUCGGGAUUGCGGGGGGCGGAUGAUGGCCUCCCGUGCGCCUCGUCGCGCGGUUGGCAUAAAUGCCAAGUCCUCGGCGACGCACGCCACGACAAUCGGUGGUUGCGAAACCUCGGUUGCCCGUCGUGUGCGGUCGUCGCGCAUCGAGGGCUCGAAAAAAUUGUCGGGCUCCGGCUCGGCUUUCAACGCGACCCCAGGUCAGGCGGGGUUACCCGCUGAAUUUAAGCAUAUCAAUAAGCGGAGAA